This 96-nucleotide ribosomal RNA is filed under the name Mesocricetus auratus (golden hamster). Lineage: Eukaryota; Metazoa; Chordata; Mammalia; Rodentia; Cricetidae. The record is from RNAcentral.
UCUAUCCCAUUCUGGACGUGUCUAAUAUCAUCUGAUUUCAGAAGCUAAUUAGAGUUGGGCCUUGUGAGGACUUAGGUGUAAGACAAAGGGUAAGGA